GUUAGCAUUUAACGGCCGGCCUUCCGUCCGUAACAAUACUUGAACGGCUGACAUUGGGUGUUGCUUCGAUGACACACCGUUCAAACUUUCGAUUUAUGUUGAGGAUGGGAACGAACGUCCAUUCU
This 125-nucleotide non-coding RNA is filed under the name uncultured Nitzschia. Lineage: Eukaryota; Bacillariophyta; Bacillariophyceae; Bacillariales; Bacillariaceae. The record is from RNAcentral.